Molecule: long non-coding RNA, 8695 nt
Organism: Acinonyx jubatus (cheetah)
Lineage: Eukaryota; Metazoa; Chordata; Mammalia; Carnivora; Felidae
Exons: 2
Source: RefSeq, a predicted model, not a curated record
GAAAGACUAAUAGCCCUAGUUCUUCUGGCAGAGCUAGAACAAUUAGGGCAAAAGUAAUCUAAGAAACAUAUCUGGUCAUUUCUUUGCCAGUCCUGGACACCUUAUGCAUCGACAUGUCAUUAUUCUGGACUGCUUCCUGAUUUAAUCGACUUCCAAAAGCCAUUACCCUUCCCUCACGGCCUCUGCUAACAUACUCAGUCAAGUUAUAUGUGACAAUGUCUGGAAGGGAGGGAACAAUAAGCUUGACCUCUUAAGAUACUCAAAACUAAGAUAGUGGUCAUGGUGCUAUUUCCUCUCAUGUCCAAUGGAGGCAGAGGCAAGUGGUACUUAGUAGAUCUAUCAAAGAACAGUAUACCACAAUGCACUGCCUUUGUAAUUCCCAAGAGACUAGAGACAGGAACUCUGUAAGGGUCUCUGUUCCGAGACUAAAGGUACAGUGGCAUAAACUGAAAACAAUCACAAUGCGAAAGAAAUAACCAUGUGAAAGAAUUAAAAAGAGAGUUGGUGAAAACAUGUUUCCUAUAAAACUAAAUGCACCCUUACCAUAUGAUCCAGCAAUCACACUCCUUGGUAUUUAUCCAAAGGAGUUGAAAACCUAAGUCCACAUAAAAACAUGCACACAGAUGUUUACAACAGCUUUGUUCAUAACUGCCAAAACUUGGAAACCACCAAGGUGUCCUUCAGUAGGUGAAUGGAUAAAAUGAGGUAAAUCCAGACCAUGGAAUUUUAUUCAGCACUAAAAAGCAAUGAGCUAUCAAACCAUGAAAAGACUUGGUAUACAUAUUACUAAAUGAAAGAAGACAAUCUGAAAAGGCUACAUACUGUAUUAUUCCAACUAUAGGACAUUCUGGAAAAGGCAAAACUAUGGAGGUAGUAAAAAUAUCAGGAGUUGGAGGGGGUAGGAAGAACAGACAGAACAUAUAGGAUUUUUAGAGCAGUGAAUACUUUACAUGACACUAUUAUGAUGGAUACAUCAUCAGUUGUAACAAGUGUGCCACUAUGAUGGGACAUGCUGAUGAGGCUGUGCACGUGUGGGUUUACAGACUGAUGGAAAAUCUCUGUACGCUUCUCUUAAAUUAUGCCGUGAACUUAAAAUUGCUCUAAAAGUUUUUCUUUCUUUUCUUUAAAUAAAUUAUUUUCAGUGAAAGCCAGAAUACAGUGUGAAUUCCUAUUACAGAAAAGAAAAAUGAAUUACCACGGUAAAGCAAAGAAAACCCUAAUUUUGUGUCUACUAAUUCAAAAAGAAGUGGGGACCUGUAGGGUUUCUAUCAUUGUACUAUCAACAGAGAAAACCUAUUAAACUUUUUACAUAAACAAAUUUUAGGAAGGAUAUUUAUUUGAACCAUUCAUAAGAAUGAAUGGAUGGGGAGCCCACUGGAAGCAUCUUUUAUAUACAAACUUUCUAUAUAAUUAAACUAAACACAGUGGUACUGGGCCUGCACACCAUACCAACCUGUGGGUUAAGAACUGCUGCUUUUAGGGGUGCCUGGGUGGCUCAGUCGGUUGAGCGUCCAACUUUGGCUCAGGUCAUGAUCUCGCGGUCUGUGAGUUCGAGCCCCACGUCAGGGUCUGUGCUGACAGCUCAGAGCCUGGACCUGCUUCGGAUUCCGUGUCUCCCUCUCUCUCUGCCCCUCCCCAACUCAUGCUCUGUCCCUCUCUCUGUGUCAAAUAUAAACAAACAUUUAAAAAAAAAAAAAAGAACUGCUGCUUUUGCUGAACCUAAAACAUUUUACACUUGUAUUUUAAGGAAAGGAAAGCAGCAGCAAGGGAAAGAAAAAGUGUCACUAACUAAACUAUGAACCAAUGUUUUCUUGUAUCAUUGAUUUUAAAACUCAUCCUUGUUUCAGGAUUGUUAGUAUGGGGGAGGAAGCCCAUCUUAGAAUCAAUGAAGCAUGACAUUCUUUUUUGUUCAUUAAGCAAAACAGUCCAAACUUUCACCAGUGAUUUGAUAACCUUCAUCUAGACACCUAUGUUUUUAAAAAUCAAUUUAGACUUUCUUGAAUUCACACUGGCUUUCUUCCAGUGAACCUAAACCAGGGAAGGGCUUGCUAUUCUUUAGCAACAAAGGAAGCCUUCUAUUUCAGGAAGCUGACUAAAGUAAUAGUGUCUACCAUCACUGAACAGCUGUCUCUAGGAAAGCCCCAUCCAGCUGAGGCUACCGCAUACCCAGGACAUAACAUCAAUCCUGUUUUCUGCACUUGAGCCUUAAGGGAGAAGCGAGGUUCCAGUGAAUGUGCACAAACACGAGAGGCUUGGAGGUACCCAGGCUAACUAAAAUCUUAAGUUACUUCAGCUUUAAUUGAAUUUCCAAGGAACCUCAGCAUGGGUCCCUUAUGGGUAGACACACCAAUCUAUACCCCGUUAAAGACUCUCAAUUGUUAAACAGUCAUCACUGGGAGGUGCCUCUAACAGGAAAAAAAGUCACAUAUACAACAGUCUAUCUAACAAGGGACCAUAUUAUGGACACUAUUAUGUUUUUCAUUUGAAAACCUUUCUAGGCCUGCAUCCACCCAUUUGCCUCAUUCAUGUUAAUGGCUGCAAAGUACCUUACUGAAUAGAUGGAGGGGCCAUAAUUUACUUAUCCAGUCUUCUCUUCAACAUUUUGGUUGACAUGAACAACUUUGUACAGGUAUUUUGGCAAACAUUUGUGUACAUAUCCCUGAGAAAAAUUUCUAGCAAUAGGAUUACUAACUCAAAAGGCAUAUAUAUGUUUAAAGUAGAUAUGCAGUGCCUAAUUGGCCUCCAGGAACCAAGCCAACUGGAAUUCUCCAGAAUGCUGCAUCAACUCAUACUUCAAUUCAUGAUAUGUAACAGGGCCCAUUCUGUGUACCCUUUGUUCUGGAUGUCUUUAUUGGUAUUAACCUUAUGCACACAUAUGAAAUGAUAAUAUUAAUACUUUAUAUAGAGGACUUAAUCUAUAACAGGAAAUACUGAGGGCUUGACAUUUAACUCUUUACAUAGUAGCCAUUAAAAAAAAAAAAAAUCACCAUUAAAUAACGAGCAAGCCAGGGCAGGGACUUCUCCAAGGUCACACAGCUAGUGGGCAGGGGAGUCAGAAAUCAAACCUAUCUUCACUACCUUAUCUUCAAAGUUUUUUUUUGCUCUUCAACACAAAAACAAAAAAUUAGGUAUUGUAAUCCUUUUAUUUAAUGGCCUUCCAAUAAGACCAAAUUGGGCACAGUGACCCUUAAUGAAGAAGAAAAAGUACAAAUUACCACUCUCACGUGUUGCCCUAAUGUAUCUAAUGCAAUAUACUGUUUGUUUCCAAGAGCACGUGGUAAAAAAAUGUAAUAAACCCAAUUGGAACCACUCUAACCAAACACUUGAAUUAAAAGAAAAAAAAGAAGACACUAAAGCUUCCACAUGUAAGCAGAAUAACUGCACAAGAAAGUAAAUUGCACUUCCAUGGAAAACGUUUAUCAAAUACAAUUCAAAUGAAAUUCAAACAGUCUUUAUCACUUUGAUAAAUUUCAAACUCCUGUCCUUAAGGGAUCAGUCAAUAUAAAUAUACUUGUGGUCUGCUGAAUGCACUCUAGCAUCUUAACAUCUCCAAUAUUUACAAGGCACAUUGUGAAAAGAGCUUGGUGAAAAGGAGCUCCACUCCCUCUUCCCUGGGAUGGCAUGCAUGUCCCCCUACUUUCAAAUGCCAUGGUCUCCGAUUUGAUUGUAACACAGAGUUUUGUCAAGUUUCCCUUGCCCUGCAGCCUCAUGAAAUGUUUGGGGGCUUCACCAAAUUAUACACAAAGUUACCAUUAGUUUUUGAGUCACAAAUUUAGAUAGGACUUGUGGCAGGUAUGAGGGAACUUCUGGAACCAACAGGACAGAAUAUCCAGCAACAAUAGAGAUAAAGCAACAAAAAGUCUUCUCAGUCCUAUUCCCUAAAUAACUUUCCCUUAGAGGGGUUCUUGGCUAGUGGGCAGGCUUCAGGAAAUUUCUAGGCCCCAUGAGUUCCAAGAAGGAUUUCAUGGUAGAAAAUCCUUUUUGGAAAUAUUCCUUAAAAACUAUCACACUGCCAGAGGUACCAGAAUACAGUAGAAAACAACCACUCCAAGGAGUCAAGCACCAUCCUUACUUUGCAUUUAGUAUAGAUUUAUGAAACCCACCACCCAAAGCUAGACUCUGUGCUGGGCACUUGCCUGGCAGCUCAUCUACUCAAAGCCAUGCCUACUUCACAGACAGGACUACUGAAGCACCGGCAUGCCAGAGGGCAAGGAGAAACUGGCAGAGGGGGAAGAUCAGGAUGAGGACAAGACACGACUUACUGUCUAAAGACUACCCAUGAAUGCUGCAGACUGACACAUCCUCUCCAAUCCACGGUGCACAAUUAGAGAUGCUGUGAACUGUACAAGGGCUAAGGACUGGAGACCAGUAGGGGCCUGCCUAGUUCAAAGUGGGGUUCCUUGUGAUGACAGCCAGUCACUUCCCUAGCAAGUCUGUGUCAGGUGAGAUGGUUAGACAUCUCUAGUUCCCCACCCUACCAUGAAAAGAUGCUCAAAUUUCCAUGGGUGAGGUGGGUGUGUGAAGGUAUAAAAGAGUGUGAAUGCCAACAACUAACUAGUCAGUUGAGGAGAACUCUGCACAGAAAUCUGCUUGUAUCCUCCCCUUCAUCCCAUGCCCCUAUAAAGCACAGAAGAAUUAUGAAUAUUAAUCAUUUGAUACUAAGCAAGCCUGUGACAAAACCUGUAGACCUCUGAAUUCACAUACUCUAAAACACCAACACUUCCUGACUCAGAGAACUGUUCUGUAUUUUUAUUUCCUAAAUAGCAACGGUCUAGACUCCUUUCCAUCAAAGUCAGCCCUUAUACUUUCCCACAUUUGCAUAAAAAUUGAACAUGCUCACCAGAUAAAAGCAUAUCUGUUAAAGAAUUUAAUUUCUCUUUACCAUUCUUCUGUUUUAUGUCAUAUACCCUAAAGAUACUGCCUGGAUGCCACUAAAUGCUACUGCAGAAGCCUCUUUGUUCUCCAAUUUGAAGAAUGUUGCAUGAGGGACAUUUGAUUCUAUUACAUUUUAUUUUGCUGUAAGAAGGACUGAAAAUCCCUUGAGACCAAGCGUGAGAUAUAUACCCAACCUGAUCACAAGAAGCUUCUCUGGGGAACCAGCUCAUUACCUGAGACAGCCAAGAAGUCAUCAAUGGAAGUAAUGUCAUCGACAGCAUCUGUGAGAACACGGACUUGUUUUUCCCACUGUUCUUUAAAAAGAUCCAUGUUCUCUUGGGCCAGUUUACUCUGUGGUUUUGCUGCUAAAGCCAAUGCAGCAUUGAUAACCUGCAAAGAUAUUGAAGUUCAUUUUUUACUCUUCCAGAGGCAUGAAAAGAAGAUAGGUCAAUACACUGGUGAUGGCUUUGUCUCAUAGGCAUUUCACAAGGAUCCAUGAUACCACGUGUUCCACCACAACACUUAUGAAGAUGAAGAAGUAUUAAACAAUAAGUAGCAGAUGUGAGGGUAAAAGAAAAUACAUUGGAAAUGCAGAUACACAGUAAGACAAAUGAAAACAUCUCCAACCUCUCCACUCUGUGACAGCAACUUUUGAAAAUGUUUGACAUUAUAUUCCAGCCUUUAUGCUAUACACAAUACCCAUACACAAGUACAUCCCAUGACAAAAAUAUAAAAUUCCAUGCUACAUAAGACUAUCUUGUUUCUUCUUCAACAUUAACUAUUUCUUAUCCCAUCUUCUGGAUUUACACUGUUAUUUUCCUAUUACACGAUUUCUAGGUUUCAUAGAGUUACCCACUAUUCUUAAUAAUCUGAUGAUGAACGUUUGCUAUUUCAGGUUCUGAAGUUUAAAAAGUAAUCUGUACAAAAAGCACCUGGCUUGAGAUAUAAUUCACAUACCAAAAAAUUCACCAAUUUAAACCUUACAAUUCAGUAAUUUUUAGUAUAUUCACAGUUGUGCAACCAUUACCACAAGACCACUUUCAUCACUCCAAAACAAACCCCAUCUACAUCAGCAGCCAUUCCCCAUUUUGCUCAUUCCUUAAAACUACCUACUGGCAACCACUAACUUUACUCUCUUUUUCUGUAGAUUUGUCUAUCCUGGGUAAUUCAUAUAAAUGGAAUCAUAUUAAUAUGUGGGUUUUGUAACUAGCUUCUUUCACUUGAUGUUUUGGAGGUUCUUCCACGCUGGAAAAUAUGUCAGUAUUUCAUUCCUUUCUACUGAUAAAUAAUAUGCCAUUAUACAGAUACACAAGAUUUUAUUUAUCCAUACAUCUGUUGAUCAGUUUAUUUAUCCAUACAUCAAUGAACCAUUUCCACUUGUUUGACCAUUAUGAAAAAAGCUGUUAUGAACAUUCACAUACAUGUUUCUGUGUUUUCAUUAUUUUUGGGUCCAUCAGCAGGAGUGGAAUAGCUGGGUCAUAUGUUUAACUUUAGACAAACUGCCAGACUGUUUUCCAAAGCAGUUGCACAAUUUUACAUUUUCACCAGCAUGUAUGAAGGUUCCAAUCUUCACUAACACUUGUUCUUUUCUUUUUUUCUUUUCUCUCUUUUCUUUUUAAUGAUAGCCAUCCUAGUGGGUGCGAAGUGCUAUCUCAUUGUGGUUUAAUUUGCUUUUCUCUGAUGGUGCAUGAUAUUACACAUCUUUUCCUAUGCUUAUUGACCAUUAGCACAGAUUCUUUGAAGAAAUACCUACUCAAUCCUUUGCUGUUUUCACUCAAUGAGUAAAUAAUGAAAUCGAAUUGAGAGGAUAAUUACUAACAUUUCUAGGUCCAACAUCCUUAUGGGUUAUCAGAAAUAAAUAUACUUAUGAUAAUGCAACUUGGAAGGGAAGCAAAGACAAGAGAAAACUGGUGGUGAUGGAAUUGAGGUCUGGAUGAAGCAGAAAAAUACUUACCACAGAAGCAUUUGGCAUGCAAAGCUGAAGACAGGAUUUGGGACACAUUUUUUUUAGGUGCCACAGGAACCACAUGCCUAUAGGUCUUAAUUCCCAAUAUACUGCAGCAGUAUUCAAGAAUUUUAUUCAACGCAGUCAACAAAGACUUGUAAACAAACUGAAGAAUCACAGCUACUAGACUGACGCAGCUAUUCCUCUUCCCUCCUAAACAACUCAAACUGACAGACCAACAAGAUUAUAAACUACAGACUCAUAGGCAUAAGGGACUGGGCCAGCUACUUAUUAUUAACAGCCCGUUUAUAAAAGCAUAUGGGUUUGGACAAUCAAGUAUUGUAAGAAGAGCUAUCCCACCAUCUUUCCAUGUGUUAUACUGUGGUCUUCCAUAUUUUCAUCACUUCAAGACUUGUUCUUUGCCUCUCUUCCCUCUCGCCAUUCACUUCCCACCAGGUGAUUCACCACUGUGGACUACUCUCUUCACUACUUAACUCACUGAUUCACCAAUGCACCAAUGAAUCAGAGCAGAGCUAGACUGUAUAAGAAUACUUGGCUGAAAAAAAUGUUUCCUAAGAUAGCCAAGUAAACACGGGCAGGGAAUUAAUUAUAUGUUUUAAAUACGAGGAUAAUUCCUCCAUUACAAAAAGAAAAUUGCUCUCUUUGUUCUGUAAUAUAUCUUAUCUCAUACAGUAUAAUGGAGAAAAAGCACCUUAUCUAAGGUUAACUUUCUCAUUUUCAUUACAAACUAUUUACAAAGGACACUUGAUAAAUUAAAUACUCAUUUCUGAUGACUCUGACUCUGAGUAAAUUAGAAAGAUUCUGAACAUACUACUUUAAAUAAUCAUCAAACAUUAUACUUUGUGGUGAAAACUAGAAUCAUUUACCUUAAAAAAUAGAUGUUAUUAAUGUUAUACUUACUGUUACCAUUAGUUAAACAAUAAUAUAAUGAUCUUUCUAGCCAAUGAAAUCAAAUGGGAAAUAGAAAUAAAAGAAAAAGCUGUUAGAAAGGAGACCACCAAAUGACUUUUCAAUACAGAUGAUCUCUGUUUAUCUAGGAAACUGAAGAGAGUCACCCCCCAAAAAUUUAGUAUUAUACAGAGUUCAUUAAGGAAGCUACAGACAAUAUAAAUAUAUAUUAAAAAAUCAAUUUUUUAUAUACUAGAAAAAAGAAAGGAAAAUGAAAGGAAUGUCAAAUCUUUAUGAAAGCAAUUAACGGGAAAUAAAGGGGACUAGAUCUCUGAAGAAACCCACAGUAUUAAAGUAACAGUAAGUGAUUUAACUUUUCUGAGGAAUAUUACAAAAACUCAAAUAAACAAACAUAUUCCAUGUUUAGGCAUAGGAAGACUGACCUACUUACUCACAAAUUAAUCUGGAACAAUAAACAGCUAGGAAUAGACAAAAAACCUUGGAGAAAGAGAGCAAGAGUAAUGGAAGAGAGGUAAUUAAAAUGUAAUACAAAGCUAAAAUAAUUACAAUAGAAUCAUCUAAAAAUAGACACUGUCAUAGUGAAUGAAAAAAGUUAACAUCACAUACAAGUAGGGAUUAACAGUACAUUGGUUUUGUAUUUGAUGGACUAUCUGGAGAAAAAUAAAGUUAAACCCUCACUUCAUGCUUAUAUUUAAAAGCUAACAAAGCUAAAGAAUCUAUUUAUGGGGGCGCCUGGGUGGCUCAGUCAGUUAAGCCUCUGACUUCGGCUGAGGUCAUGAUCUCAUGGUUUGUGAGUUCAAGCCCCACAUCGGGCUCUGUGCUGACAGUUCAGAGCCUGGAGCCUGCUUGGAUUCUGUGUCUCCCUUUCUCUCUGCCCCGCCCCCGCUCACGCUCUCUUUCUCUCAAAAAUGAAUAAACAUCUAAAACAAUUUAAAAAAAAAAAAA